This 469-nucleotide ribosomal RNA is filed under the name uncultured bacterium. Its description in RNAcentral is "partial 16S ribosomal RNA". It matches the Rfam family "Bacterial small subunit ribosomal RNA", at positions 28 to 507 of the family's 1533-position model. The record is from RNAcentral.
GACGAACGCUGGCGGCGUGCUUAACACAUGCAAGUCGAACGGAAAGGCCCUGCUUGCAGGGUGCUCGAGUGGCGAACGGGUGAGUAACACGUGGGUGAUCUGCCCCUUAUUUUGGGAUAAGCCUGGGAAACUGGGUCUAAUACUGGAUAGGACCAUGCUGUAGGUGGUGUGGUGGAAAGAUUAGUUUCGGUAAGGGAUGAGCUCGCGGCCUAUCAGCUUGUUGGUGGGGUAAUGGCCUACCAAGGCGUCGACGGGUAGCCGGCCUGAGAGGGUGGACGGCCACAUUGGGACUGAGAUACGGCCCAGACUCCUACGGGAGGCAGCAGUGGGGAAUAUUGCACAAUGGGCGCAAGCCGGAUGCAGCGACGCCGCGUGGGGGAUGACGGCCUUCGGGUUGUAAACUCCUUUCAGCCAUGACGAAGCCCUUGUGGUGACGGUAGUGGUAGAAGAGGCACCGGCUAACUACGUG